GACAGAGGUGCCGAGCGUUAGGCGGAAUCACUGGGCUUAAAGCGUGUGUAGGCGGGCGGGCAAGUACCUUGUGAAAUCCCACGGCUCAACCGUGGAACUGCUGGGUAUACUGCCUGUCUUGAGCCAGCCAGGGGCAGUCGGAACAGACGGUGGAGCGGUGAAAUGCGUAGAUAUCAGGAGGAACACCGGUGGUGUAGACGGCUCUCUGGACCAUAACUGACGCUGAGACACGAAAGCGUGGGUAGCAAACAGG
RNAcentral lists this ribosomal RNA (253 nucleotides) under uncultured bacterium. Its description in RNAcentral is "partial 16S ribosomal RNA". It matches the Rfam family "Bacterial small subunit ribosomal RNA", at positions 524 to 776 of the family's 1533-position model. The record is from RNAcentral.